This 531-nucleotide long non-coding RNA is filed under the name Homo sapiens (human). RNAcentral describes it as "HSALNT0132412". The record is from RNAcentral. Lineage: Eukaryota; Metazoa; Chordata; Mammalia; Primates; Hominidae.
CGACAGCCUCCGGGGUUGGGGGUAAGUAGAAGGGGGUGAGGGGCCAGCACUAGUUGACUCAAGGCACCCUGGUGGGGACGGAGAGGUUUUUUCGCUCAGUGGUGCAGGCCAUCAGGCAGGGGUGUCCAGGCAGGGCCCGGGUGCAAGAAAACAUUCUGUGUGCGCUAGUGCGAGAGGAUCUUCUACAGUCACCUGCCUUCAUGCCAUUACAGACAGACGGGAAGUCACUGGGUUCUAGGACAUAAAAAGACCUACAUGUUGGCUAGCCUAAAUCGAACCCUUUUAUAGUAAUAAAGAUUCAUCAAUGUUUUAAACUGUCCACUGUCAGCCCCCUGGGACUCAGGUGAACCAACUCUCUUUGGGAAUCUAUCUUAGAAGAUGAAACCAUAAAGCCUUCAGUUUCAAUGUCAGGGAUGCACACUCUAUAUCUGGUGAAAUUAUGGAGGGGUGAAAACUUCUGUACAGCAAACUGUACCUCCAAAUCUUUAAUGUCGAAAUAAAGGGCUUUUUGCCAUUUCUGUUUUCAGUUCA